RNAcentral lists this ribosomal RNA (2574 nucleotides) under Candidatus Liptonbacteria bacterium. Its description in RNAcentral is "partial 23S ribosomal RNA". It matches the Rfam family "Bacterial large subunit ribosomal RNA", at positions 1646 to 2477 of the family's 2925-position model. Lineage: Bacteria; Candidatus Liptoniibacteriota. The record is from RNAcentral.
ACCGGAAACCGACACUGGUGGAUAGGGCGAGUAGCCCAAGGGGAACGAGUGAUUCGCCGUUAAGGAACUCGGCAAACAAGCGGCCGUAAGUUCGCGAUAAGGCCUGACCAGUGCGUAGCACUGAAUCUCGAAUAAUCUCGAAUUAUUUGUGAUUGAUUCGCGAAUCAGUCCCGAAUUCGAGAAGAUUCGUGUUCCAGCGCUGCGCGCUGGCCCACAGCUAAAGUAUUCCUAGCGACUGUUUACCAAAAACACAGCUCCCUGCGAACUCGCAAGAGGAUGUAUAGGGGGUGACGCCUGACCGAUGCGAGAAGGUCAAGGUUGUCGGUCAUUGCUUCGCACUGACCCGCGGAUUCUCGCGGAUAUGACGCGGAUGAACGCGGAUAAUUAAAAACUAUCUGCGUAAAUCAGCGUAGCAAUCUGCGUUAAUCAGCGUGCCAGAGCGGAGCGAUGGCUGAACGACUCAAGCCCUCGUCAAUGUCAGCAAUAACUAUAAUUGUUCUAAGGUAGCGCAAUUCCUUUCCGGGUAAGUGGAACUUGCCCCUUUUCACCGCAAGGUGAAUCGAAAAGCCGGCUAAUAACGGUGGACUCCAUAUGGUAGAAUUACCGUAUGGACAAUACCGUGGGAAGUCCCGAAGCACAUAACGCUUAUGUGCUCGGUGACCCCGUAACGACUGAGGCGGAAAGCCAAAAUAGGUUGGAUUCAUCCAACUAUUACACGCCGGCCUCUCUACUGAAGAUAAGAAACAUACCGGAAUAUAUUUCUGGAUAUGUUGAUGGUGAGGGAUGCUUUACGGUCACGUUUAACAAACGUGCAAAAGCAAAAUUAGGAUGGGAACUUCGACCAAGUUUCUCGGUUAGUCAGAAUGAAGAUAGACGGCAAGUGCUGGAUAUUAUCCGAGAAUAUUUUGGUUGUGGUUCAAUCCGUCGUGAUUUUGCAGAUAAAACAGUAAAGUUUGAGAUACGCGAUCAUAAUGAUCUUGUGUCGAAAGUUAUUCCUCACUUUGAAGAAUUUCCUUUGCUUUCGAAAAAGCAGAAAGACUUCGAAUUGUUCAAAGCGAUAUGCGAAAUUAUUCACGUGACAAAACAUCUUCAAAAAGAUGGAUUUGCAGAAGUGGUAACUCUUGCAUAUCAGAUGAAUGGUUCGGGCAAGCGAAAGAGAACGAAAGAGGAAAUUAUCAAUUCUUUAGUGUAGAGAAGAUGAUAUAGUCUGAUCCUUGCCGUAAGGCAAGAUAACACGGAAGAAGUUCCGGAGCGCACGAAAGGCGUAACGACUGGGAAACUGUCUCAACGGCGAGCUCGGUGAAAAUGCGAUUCCCGUGAAGACGCGGGAUACCUGCAGCGGGACGAAAAGACCCCGGAAGCUUUACUGCAGCUUGGUAUUGGCUUUAGGACUUUGAUGCGUAGCGUAGUGGCGAGGAUUUGAAGCGCUUCUUUCGGGAGGCGUGGAUCCGACAAUGAAACAGCCAUCUUUAAAGUUUUAAAAUCUAACCAGUCCAGAACCCAGCUGGGUUCUCGCAGACCAACGCAGAACGAACGCGGAACUACGCAGACAUUUUAUUUUUGUCUGCGUCAGUCAGCGUAAAGUCAGCGUAAGUCGGCGAUCCAGCUGGGAAGCUGGAUUGGGACAGUGCUUGGUAGGCAGUUUCAAUGGGGCGUUGUCCUUAAAAAUGUAGAUGAACGCCGACUGUACGCAGACAAAUGCGGACAGUUUAUAAUCUAUGUGCAAUUGAUUUCCGUUACUGCUUGAUGAAAAUCAAAAAUGUCAAUUGUGGGGGACUUAUUGCCGUAAGGCAAUUCGAAAACUAUCUAUAUGCUGGAACAACCGAGUAUGGAAAACUACUCAUGACUAUGAUAUGUUUUGUAUAUCUAAAGGUCGUAGUAAAAAUGUUUUCCUGCGGUCAAUCAGCAGGGAAGUUAAAAUUAUGUCCUUCGAAAUAAAAACGCCUGAAACAGGCGAGAAUAGUAGAUUAGAACAGUUAAAACAAGAAGCCCUAGAACGACUUCAAGGAUUCAGAAGGUCAUUAGAAUUCCAUCAAAAAAUGAUUAUGGAAGGUAAGGCAACUGAAGACGAACUUGAGCUUUUGUCAAAAGGGGCAGAUGCUGCAAGAGAAAUGUUUAAAGGAGUUCUUGAUUUAAAGCACACAGCGAAAAAAGAAGGAGGUAGUAAAUAACCCCUCAGAGACUACACGAUAGCUCCCGAUAAAAUCGGGAUGAUAAUAUAGUCCGAACUUCAUGGCGACAUGGAGAGACGAGCAGAAAUGACUCGUUCGCGCAGCGAACGCGCAGAACUACGCAGACGGCACGCAGACCAACGCAGAAAUUUUUCCGCGUAAGUCAGCGUAAAGUCCGCGUCAGUCCGCGAUUGUUGCGUAGCAACAAUAAUGCCAAAAGAGUAACGGAGGAGUUUAUUAAGGUCGGCUUAGCCCGGAUGGAAACCGGGCCGGACGUGCAAAGGCAAAAGCCGGCUUCACUGCAAGACCUACAAGUCGCGCAGAUGCGAAAGCAGAACUUAGUGACCCGACCAUACUUAAUAGAAAGGUGGGAGACAUCAGCUAAAAGCUACUCCGGGGAUAA